CAGAGAUGGUUCUGGGAGUGCAGAGCUGCCCCUGGUGCUUGCACUGCACUCAGCUGAGCCACUCCACCCCGAGCACACAGCAGAGCCCUCCAUGGCAUCUUCUGCUUUUCCCUGGGGAAGAGACAACCUGGAGAUGCUUCAUGAGCUAGAAAUAUUCCUCCAGAUAUCACAGAAAAGCAGCACCACCCUGGGCUGCAGCUCCUGAACUGCAACUCCUUCAUGGAAAACAUCUUCACCUUCACCCCUACAAGGGCCUGCUGACCUCCCACCAACACUGGGGCAGCCUGGUGGCCCUGCAGGACAAGGACUGGUCGAGAGGACUUUCCCUGGUGGCCCCCAGACAAUGGCGAGCUGUUCCUGGAGUGCCCCAUACAUUCCAGGAUGCAUUGGCCUCACAAGUUAAAUAUUUAGUCUUUCCUGAAUCCAAAUA
This is a non-coding RNA of Taeniopygia guttata (zebra finch), 430 nucleotides long. Lineage: Eukaryota; Metazoa; Chordata; Aves; Passeriformes; Estrildidae. The record is from RefSeq and is a predicted model, not a curated record.